UGGGGAAUCUUGCGCAAUGCGCGAAAGCGUGACGCAGCAACGCCGCGUGGGGGAAGACGGCUUUCGGGUUGUAAACCCCUUUCAGUUGGGACGAAGCUUCGCCGGUGAAUAGCCGGCCGGAGUGACGGUACCUUCACAAGAAGCACCGGCUAACUACGUGCCAGCAGCCGCGGUAAUACGUAGGGUGCAAGCGUUGUCCGGAAUUAUUGGGCGUAAAGAGCGUGUAGGCGGCUUGAUAAGUCUGCUGUGAAAGUCCAGGGCUCAACCCUGGAAAGCCGGUGGAUACUGUCGAGCUAGAGUCCGGAAGGGGCGAGUGGAAUUCCUGGUGUAGCGGUGAAAUGCGCAGAUAUCAGGAGGAACACCAAUGGCGAAGGCAGCUCGCUGGGACGUGACUGACGCUGAGACGCGAAAGCGUGGGGAGCAAACAGGAUUAGAUACCCGUGUAGUCC
This 449-nucleotide ribosomal RNA is filed under the name uncultured bacterium. Its description in RNAcentral is "bacterial SSU rRNA". It matches the Rfam family "Bacterial small subunit ribosomal RNA", at positions 355 to 796 of the family's 1533-position model. The record is from RNAcentral.